Molecule: long non-coding RNA, 1610 nt
Organism: Drosophila novamexicana
Lineage: Eukaryota; Metazoa; Arthropoda; Insecta; Diptera; Drosophilidae
Exons: 9
Source: RefSeq, a predicted model, not a curated record
ACUAAUUAAUUAAUUAUUCUUAUCUUUCCAGGGGACUCUGGUGAAUUCGCAAGCGGGCGUGCCUUUCGAUGUGCGAGUUGCCUCCAGUUAUGUCCGGGUCGCCACUCGCUAACUGGAUACUGCUGCGGCGUCCGUUGCCGUUGGCCACAUGUCGCGUGCCGUAGUGGACUUUGCAAGGAAUGCGGCCCAAUUUGGAGCUGUUCCUGGUCUGUGGUUGGAAGAUGCCUGUGUUGUUGCUGCUGUGCUAACUGAGGGGAUCGCUUGCGCUUGGUGCCUGUCGGAGUUUGUUGUUGUAGCUUAGUGUGCUCACUGAACCCUUGCUGCCUAUGCCGGUGAUGCCGUGGCGGAGGUGAUCGGGUUGGUUGUGCAGAUAUUGAUGGCUGCUGCUGAAUGAUCCCCGGCUGCCCUUGUCGUUGUUGCCCUGGCUGAGGGAAACUCAUUGGCAGACUUUGUUGUUGUUUUUGUCGUGGUUUGCGGAGCUGCUCUGCUGAAACUAGUUGCUGCUGUUCAAUGAUCUCUUGCUGCCUUUGUCGUUGAUAGCGUGGCGGAAGAGAUUUAAUUGGUUGUGCAGGGAUGAUUCGCUGUUUCGUUGUUGAUGAGGCUUCUGCCUGGCUCUGCUGCUGCCGCUCCAUACUCCGCAACUGUGCAAAACUUCGUACAGUUGUUCGCUUAGUAAUCACUUGCUGCCUUUGUUUUUGACGUCGUGGCAGGGGCGACCGAAUUGGAUUUGCAGAAUUAACUAGCUGCAUUUUUGCUGGUGGGCCUUCUGCCUGGCUCUGUUGCUGUUGCUCAGUGUUCCUCGGCUGCCUUUGUCGUUUGUGUCUUGGCAGAGAGAAACUCAUUCGCUGGCUUUGUUGUUGCUGUUGGCAUAAAUGGAGGAGCCCCUCUGCCAAUUGCUGCUGUUUAAUGAUAUCUUGCUGCCUUUGUCGUUGGUGCCAUGGCGGAAGAGAUUGAACAGAAAUAACUCGCUGUGACGUUGAUGGUGGGCCAUCCGCCCGGAUCUGCUGCUGCUGCUCGGUGUUCCCCGGGUGCUCUUGUCGUUGUUGUCCUGGCUGAGGGAAACUCAUUGGCUGGCUUUGAUGUUGCUGUUGCCAUGGCUGGAGGAGCUGCUCUUGCAGCUUUUGCCGUUGAUGCCGUGGCAAAGGCGAUUGAAUUGGUAGCGCAGAAUUAGCUCGCUGCGCUGUUGUUGAUGAGGCUUCCGCCCGGCUCUGCUGCUGUUUAAUAUUCUCCGGCUGCCCUUGUCUUUGUUGUCCUGGUGAGUCGAAGGCGGCUCUGCAGGUCCAAGUUGCCUCCGUCGUUUAGCUGAGGGCUGGAUUUGCUGCUGGUCUAAAAUCCCAAGUUGACCAACUCGUUGCCGUGGAAAUGGAAAUCGAAUUGUCUGUUCAGAUUUUUUAAGCUGAGUAACAGGCAAUUGCUGUAGAGUUUCUCGCUCGGUAUCCCAGUGCUGAUCUGGCCACUUCUGUGUCAUGUUGGUUUCAGACCGAAUUUGCUGCUGCUCAGUUGUUCGCUCGAUGAUCACUUGCUGCCUUCGUUGUUGACGUCGUGGCAGGGGCGAUCGAAUUGGAUUUGUAGCUAACUAAUUAGCUGUCCGCGUUGUUGUUGAUGUAGCU